RNAcentral lists this ribosomal RNA (497 nucleotides) under uncultured bacterium. RNAcentral describes it as "partial 16S ribosomal RNA". It matches the Rfam family "Bacterial small subunit ribosomal RNA", at positions 28 to 507 of the family's 1533-position model. The record is from RNAcentral.
GAUGAACGCUGGCGGCGUGCCUAAUACAUGCAAGUCGAGCGAACAGAUGAGGAGCUUGCUCCUCUGACGUUAGCGGCGGACGGGUGAGUAACACGUGGAUAACCUACCUAUAAGACUGGGAUAACUUCGGGAAACCGGAGCUAAUACCGGAUAAUAUAUUGAACCGCAUGGUUCAAUAGUGAAAGACGGUUUUGCUGUCACUUAUAGAUGGAUCCGCGCCGCAUUAGCUAGUUGGUAAGGUAACGGCUUACCAAGGCAACGAUGCGUAGCCGACCUGAGAGGGUGAUCGGCCACACUGGAACUGAGACACGGUCCAGACUCCUACGGUAGGCAGCAGUAGGGAAUCUUCCGCAAUGGGCGAAAGCCUGACGGAGCAACGCCGCGUGAGUGAUGAAGGUCUUCGGAUCGUAAAACUCUGUUAUUAGGUAAGAACAAAUGUGUAAGUAACUAUGCACGUCUUGACGGUACCUAAUCAGAAAGCCACGGCUAACUACGUG